Molecule: long non-coding RNA, 1440 nt
Organism: Anolis carolinensis (green anole)
Lineage: Eukaryota; Metazoa; Chordata; Lepidosauria; Squamata; Anolidae
Exons: 2
Source: RefSeq, a predicted model, not a curated record
GAUAGAUAGACUCAAAGACAGACAAACUAUUCACCUUCUUUAUUACUGCAGCGAGGAUGGUGAUCGCAAAACAGUGGAAAAGUGAGAAGGCCCCAACGAAGGAAGCCUGGUUGAAUAAAUUGAUCGAAAUAAAGGACAUGGACAAACUUACUUUUUUGACAAGAAAGAGCAACGGAAGAGUCAUGAAGACCACGAAUUGGUCAACCUUUGAGGACUAUCUUAGGAAAGGAUAUUAAGGAAAGGAUUAAAAAAGGAUAUGAUUUGCAUUAUUGCCAUGCCAUUAACCCUCCAGCCCUGUAGAUGUCGCUGUAGGAAAUCAAAGAAAACCCAAAAGGAGGAGCAGAAGAAAUAAAGGUGUGUUUCCUUUCUCUUCCAGCCUUGGCAGAAGGAAGGAAGCAAAGAAGGAAGAAGGAAGCAGAGGAGGAAGAAAACUCCCAGGCAAAACAGUUCCUGGGAAUAGCAAGCAAGCAUGGCUAAGGAGUCUAUCUAAAACCUAUACGUUUACAAUGCAAAAAGGCCGAGGAUUGGGACCCGGAACCCAUUAAAAAAGAAAGAAAAGUGGGGUUUCCAAGCCAAGAAGAAGCCUUUCGUUCAUCCUUUUUGAUCACAAUGAACCCAUCAUACCUUGAAAGCUUUAAAGAACAAUAACGUUGGCAAUUUGUAACCUAUUUUUUUAAAAACACCCCUUUUUCUGCAAUAUUUUUUUAUUUGAAAGGCAGGUGGAGGUUUUUUAAAAAUUAUUUUUAUAUUGCUUUUUUCUACCCAAACAUUAUUUUUCCCUUUGUUUUUUUUCCUUUCGCAACAACAACAACAGUAAUCCUCUACACCAAAAGAUCAGUUUUCCUGGACGUUGAAUAAUUGCAUUUCAAGUGCAAGUAAUCGGUUGUUAUUUGAGACUCAAAAGAGAGACAUAGGUUUGAAUAAGAGCUUUUGAAAGUUUUUUUCCCCCCAAUAGUGCCUAAUAAACAUCCCGUGGAACCAGCAAUCCCGAUUGUAAACUAUUCUUUAUUAUUAUUAUUAUUGCAAAUAAUAAUUAAUAAUAUAAUUAAUAGCAACAAUUAUAAUAUUUUUCUGGUCACUUUUCCACCCCAAAUCUCUGUUUCCAUCUGUUAGCAUUUAAAUUAGUAUUAUUAUUAGUAAUUAUUAAUACUAAUAAUAUAAAAUUUAUAUUAAUAACAAUAUUAUCUGUUCCUGGACAUUUUUCCAGCCCAAUCUCUGUUUCCAUCUGGUAGCAAGCUGAAUUAUUAAUUAAUUAAUUAAUUAAUUAAUUGAUAAUACCAUCACAUUUCUAUUAUUAAUAAUAUUAUCAGUUCCUGGACAUUUUUCCAGCCCAAAUCUCUGCUUUCUCCUGGUAGCAAGCUGAAUUAUUAUUAACUAAUAAAUUAUUAAUUAAUUAAUAAUAAUACCACCAAAAUUCUAUUAUUAAUAAUAUUAUCUGUU